GCCAUGGAAGAGUUAUUUUAAUCAAUGUAAAUCAUUGAGGAAUUUGUCUUAUUAUCACUAUUUGAAUGUUUAACAAUUCUGUUGAGUAAUCCUUCAAAUAAAGGCAACAGUAGUAUACUGCUGUUCAAAAUUCAUAAAUCAAUAGAGAGAAAAAUAAUCAGGGUUACAAACUAAAACUGAGGGAAAUGUAUCAAAUAUAAGAGAACUACGACACAACAGAGACACAACACCGAAAUGUAACACACACAGAAACGAACUAUAAUGUAACAAUGGCCAUUUUCCUGACUUGAUACAGGGCAUUUUAUGAAAAAAUAGUGGGUUGAACCUGGUUUUCAAAGAUUGAUCUUGUAAAAAGUAAAAUAAGAAAGAACUGAACUCUGAGGGAAAUUCGAAAUGCCAAAUCAAAAGCUGAACCAUGUCUGUAAUAUUGACAAGCAAUAAUAAUUUAGUUUGAAUUGGAAACUGUGAGUUAUAAAUAUUCGAAUUGUUGAGGACAACUUUUCAUCAGAAAUAAGAAUUAACGUUGCAUUGCUGAAAAAAGGAUUUGAUACUUGUAAUAUCUAUUAGUGUGUGAUAUAUAUAUAUAAUGUAAAACAGGACUAGUUUCUAAACCUAUCAUAUAACAAAUUGUAUUAACAUGGAUUUUAAGAGCAAUAUGCUCAGUUCAUGCAGUGUAGACUUUUUAUUGCAAAACCCUCAAUAAUUGAAAUUCUAGUCUGACUGUUAUGUAUUUUCCAAGGUAUUUUAUGAAUACUUUUAUUAACAAUUAAUGAAUAUUUG
RNAcentral lists this long non-coding RNA (780 nucleotides) under Mytilus galloprovincialis (Mediterranean mussel). The record is from RNAcentral. Lineage: Eukaryota; Metazoa; Mollusca; Bivalvia; Mytilida; Mytilidae.